This 253-nucleotide ribosomal RNA is filed under the name uncultured bacterium. Its description in RNAcentral is "partial 16S ribosomal RNA". It matches the Rfam family "Bacterial small subunit ribosomal RNA", at positions 524 to 776 of the family's 1533-position model. The record is from RNAcentral.
UACGUAGGGGGCGAGCGUUGUCCGGAUUUAUUGGGCGUAAAGAGCUCGUAGGCGGCUGUUCGAGUCGGGUGUGAAAUCCUGAGGCUUAACCUUGGGUCUGCAUUCGAUACUGGGCGGCUUGAGUCUGGUAGGGGGAUCUGGAAUUCCUGGUGUAGCGGUGGAAUGCGCAGAUAUCAGGAGGAACACCAGUGGCGAAGGCGGCUCACUGGCCCGGUACUGACGCUGAGGUGCGAAAGCGUGGGGAGCAAACAGG